ACUCAAGAAAUGAAUCUUCAUAUAUGGUUUCGACCCAUAAUUAGGUAAAUAUUUACCCUUGUUUA
RNAcentral lists this transfer RNA (65 nucleotides) under Bathypolypus ergasticus. RNAcentral describes it as "tRNA-Arg". The record is from RNAcentral. Lineage: Eukaryota; Metazoa; Mollusca; Cephalopoda; Octopoda; Octopodidae.